RNAcentral lists this ribosomal RNA (253 nucleotides) under uncultured bacterium. RNAcentral describes it as "partial 16S ribosomal RNA". It matches the Rfam family "Bacterial small subunit ribosomal RNA", at positions 524 to 776 of the family's 1533-position model. The record is from RNAcentral.
UACAGAGGUCCCAAGCGUUGUUCGGAUUCACUGGGCGUAAAGGGUGCGUAGGUGGCAGGGUAAGUUUGAUGUGAAAUCUCCGGGCUUAACCCGGAAACUGCAUUGAAUACUAUCCGGCUCGAGGAAUGGAGGGGAGACUGGAAUACUUGGUGUAGCAGUGAAAUGCGUAGAUAUCAAGUGGAACACCAGUGGCGAAGGCGGCAUCCUGGACUGGUCCUGACACUCAGGAGCGAAAGCGUGGGGAGCGAUCCGG